This 265-nucleotide ribosomal RNA is filed under the name uncultured archaeon. RNAcentral describes it as "partial 16S ribosomal RNA". It matches the Rfam family "Archaeal small subunit ribosomal RNA", at positions 717 to 982 of the family's 1478-position model. The record is from RNAcentral.
AGACGUCUACAUUAGAUACCCGGGUAGUCCCAGCCGUAAACUAUGCGCGUUAGGUGUAUCGGUGACCACGAGUCACCGAGGUGCCGAAGGGAAAUCGUGAAACGCACCACCUGGGAAGUACGGUCGCAAGGCUGAAACUUAAAGGAAUUGGCGGGGGAGCACCACAACAGGUGGAGCCUGCGGUUUAAUUGGAUUCAACGCCGGACAUCUCACCGGAUAAGACAGCUGAAUGAUUGUCAAUCUGAAGGUUUUACAUGACUAGCUG